UACGGGGGGGGUAAGCGUUGUUCGGAAUUACUGGGCGUAAAGGGCUCGUAGGCGGACAACUAAGUCAGACGUGAAAUCCCUCAGCUUAACUGGGGAACUGCGUCUGAUACUGGAUGGCUUGGAUUCGGGAGAGGAAUGCGGAAUUCCAGGUGUAGCGGUGAAAUGCGUAGAUAUCUGGAGGAACACCGGUGGCGAAGGCGGCAUUCUGGACCGAUAUUGACGCUGAGGAGCGAGAGCCAGGGGAGCAAACGGG
This 253-nucleotide ribosomal RNA is filed under the name uncultured bacterium. Its description in RNAcentral is "partial 16S ribosomal RNA". It matches the Rfam family "Bacterial small subunit ribosomal RNA", at positions 524 to 776 of the family's 1533-position model. The record is from RNAcentral.